GGGUCAGUAGGUUGGUCGUGCCACCGGUACGUACUGGUCUCACUGAUUCCUCCUUCCUGAAGAACCGUAAUGCCAUUAAUUUGGUGAUGCGGGGAAACAGGACUGUUACUUUGAAAAAAUUAGAGUGUUUAAAGCAAGCUAACGCUUGAAUACAUUAGCAUGGAAUAAUGAAAUAGGACGAUCGAUCCUAGUUUGUUGGUUUCUAGGAUUGACGUA
RNAcentral lists this ribosomal RNA (216 nucleotides) under Glomeromycotina sp. RNAcentral describes it as "partial small subunit ribosomal RNA". The stretch from base 40 to 216 matches the Rfam family "Eukaryotic small subunit ribosomal RNA", at positions 686 to 864 of the family's 1831-position model. Lineage: Eukaryota; Fungi; Glomeromycota. The record is from RNAcentral.